Molecule: ribosomal RNA, 497 nt
Filed under: uncultured bacterium
Lineage: Bacteria
Description: partial 16S ribosomal RNA
Rfam family: Bacterial small subunit ribosomal RNA
Source: RNAcentral
GAUCAACGCUGGCGGCGUGCCUAAUACGUGCAAGUCGAGCGAACGGACGAGAAGCUUGCUUCUCUGAUGUUAGCGGCGGACGGGUGAGUAACACGUGGAUAACCUACCUAUAAGACUGGGAUAACUUCGGGAAACCGUAGCUAAUACCGGAUAAUAUUUUGAACCGCAUGGUUCAAAAGUGAAAGACGGUCUUGCUGUCACUUAUAGAUGGAUCCGCGCUGCAUUAGCUAGUUGGUAAGGUAACGGCUUACCAAGGCAACGAUGCAUAGCCGACCUGAGAGGGUGAUCGGCCACACUGGAACUGAGACACGGUCCAGACUCCUACGGGAGGCAGCAGUAGGGAAUCUUCCGCAAUGGGCGAAAGCCUGACGGAGCAACGCCGCGUGAGUGAUGAAGGUCUUCGGAUCGUAAAACUCUGUUAUUAGGGAAGAACAUAUGUGUAAGUAACUGUGCACAUCUUGACGGUACCUAAUCAGAAAGCCACGGCUAACUACGUG